This 1253-nucleotide long non-coding RNA is filed under the name Homo sapiens (human). RNAcentral's name for it is "HSALNT0144133". Lineage: Eukaryota; Metazoa; Chordata; Mammalia; Primates; Hominidae. The record is from RNAcentral.
GUGUGGCCUGUGAGUCUUAAUGUCUAAUUAAAGAAGGCCUCCUGGUGGGCAUUGCACUUCCUCUAGAAGUUAUGCCAUUUGGAGGGAGGCCACUUUUCAUUUGCAUCUGAAUGGGACUGAUUACUUUGCAAGUAUGGACUCACGCAUGAAUAAUUUGGUUGACCCAACUCACUCCUCUGAAAGGUUGGAAAUGAAUGCUUGAUUCAGGGCUGACAUCACCAGCGAAUUCACUAUGCAUUAUGGUCUUCAGCCAUGCCCACCUUCAGGGACCCACCUGAGAAGUGUUUAUAAACUAUCGCUGAGAAAAUUUUCGCUUCCCCGGGAAACAAAUAUGGAUCCUCCUUUUUUACAACCAGAGCAAGCAAUAUAUCAUUUAUCCCUCUUGGUCUUGCCUUCUUGGAAGCUCAGAGCUCAUUCUGAAGCUAAGAUACAAUUAAUAUAUAACCUUCACGUCAGCCCAUUUCCUGCCUUCUCCUGGUUUCCCUUUUCAGCUGACCUUUGUCUUUGACAGAAAUUUUUAGACUUUGUCUCAGUUGUGAGAAAAAGGUUGGGCCAGACACCAGGGGAGAUUGUUGGGGAGAUGCUUUUGAGUCCCACUUCAAUCCCUUUACUUACAAAUGCCACAGCAGUGAGUGGCUCUAGGGUGUAUUCAGAAGGGAUCAUUUUCUCUGCCAAUAUCCUAGACAACUUUCUACUCUGCUCCUAAGAAAAGUUCUAAGAAUCCUUACUGAUAUUGUUUGGGAGUCCUGGAGGCAGCUCCUGUGGAAGAUGUGGAGUGUCCAGAGGAUGGCCUCCUAUAAAUAAGGAAGAGAAAGUAGGGUAAGCACAAACACUGAUACAAUUCACUUGCUGGACUAAGGCCAGAAGGCGACAGCCAGACAAACAAUGGGAAUUCACAUAAAUUCAAUUCCAUGCAUAUUUCCUAGAGCCUGCUAUGCACUAGAUUUAGGAGGUAGUUCCUGAAGGAAAUAAGGGGAUGGCUGAGGUAACCCUGAUGUCUUAUACUGGUAAGCCUUAACAGUGGCAUUCUGGUUGGGGAUGGAGAGGUUGGGAGACUUAUCUUGAAGCCGUCUUUGUGUAUGAAGCAUCCUGUUUUAUUUAGAUUGCAGGUUUGUUUUGGACUUUCUUGACAUAAAGCAUUGGUGGAAAGAGGGUAGUUUUAUUUACUGUCCAAUUGUAAAAAGUUUGUUUCAUCUGGGAGUUCCAGCGACUCUAAGUUUGUAUGCACAUAAUAGCAUGAUCCAAAAUAUAUA